This 219-nucleotide ribosomal RNA is filed under the name Photobacterium kishitanii. Its description in RNAcentral is "partial 16S ribosomal RNA". It matches the Rfam family "Bacterial small subunit ribosomal RNA", at positions 1 to 216 of the family's 1533-position model. The record is from RNAcentral. Lineage: Bacteria; Pseudomonadati; Pseudomonadota; Gammaproteobacteria; Vibrionales; Vibrionaceae.
UUAAUUGAAGAGUUUGAUCAUGGCUCAGAUUGAACGCUGGCGGCAGGCCUAACACAUGCAAGUCGAGCGGUAACAGAAAAGAAGCUUGCUUCUUUGCUGACGAGCGGCGGACGGGUGAGUAAUGCCUGGGAAUAUACCCUGAUGUGGGGGAUAACUAUUGGAAACGAUAGCUAAUACCGCAUAAUCUCUUCGGAGCAAAGAGGGGGACCUUCGGGCCUC